UACGUAGGUCCCGAGCGUUGUCCGGAUUUAUUGGGCGUAAAGCGAGCGCAGGUGGUUUAAUAAGUCUGAUGUAAAAGGCAGUGGGUCAACCAUUGUGUGCAUUGGAAACUGUUAGACUUGAGUGCAGUAGAGGAGAGUGGAAUUCCAUGUGUAGCGGUGAAAUGCGUAGAUAUAUGGAGGAACACCGGUGGCGAAAGCGGCUCUCUGGACUGUAACUGACACUGAGGCUCGAAAGCGUGGGUAGCAAACAGG
Molecule: ribosomal RNA, 252 nt
Filed under: uncultured microorganism
Description: partial 16S ribosomal RNA
Rfam family: Bacterial small subunit ribosomal RNA
Source: RNAcentral